RNAcentral lists this ribosomal RNA (465 nucleotides) under uncultured bacterium. RNAcentral's name for it is "partial 16S ribosomal RNA". It matches the Rfam family "Bacterial small subunit ribosomal RNA", at positions 28 to 507 of the family's 1533-position model. The record is from RNAcentral.
GACGAACGCUGGCGGCGUGCUUAACACAUGCAAGUCGAACGGAAAGGCCCUGCUUGCAGGGUACUCGAGUGGCGAACGGGUGAGUAACACGUGGGUGAUCUGCCCUGCACUUCGGGAUAAGCCUGGGAAACUGGGUCUAAUACCGGAUAGGAGCCAUUUUUAGUGUGAUGGUUGGAAAGUUUUUUCGGUGUAGGAUGAGCUCGCGGCCUAUCAGCUUGUUGGUGGGGUAAUGGCCUACCAAGGCGGCGACGGGGAGCCGGCCUGAGAGGGUGGACAGCCACAUUGGGACUGAGAUACGGCCCAGACUCCUACGGGAGGCAGCAGUGGGGAAUAUUGCACAAUGGGCGCAAGCCUGAUGCAGCGACGCCGCGGGGGGGAUGACGGCCUUCGGGUUGUAAACUCCUUUCGCUAGGGACGAAGCUUUUUGUGACGGUACCUAGAUAAGAAGCACCGGCUAACUACGUG